GUCGAUGUAUGAGCCUCUACACUUCAGUAAUGAACCUGGACCCUCACACACAGAGGAGAGGAAGAGGAGUCAUGUUUCUGAGGAGGAGCAGUCGUCCUGCUGUGCUUCGUGUCAGGACGUCCUGAAGGAUCCAGUCUCCACCAGCUGUGGACACUGGUUUUGCAGACAGUGCAUCACCUCAUACUGGGACCAGUCUGGUUCUUCAGGAGACUCCUCCUGUCCCCAGUGUGGACAAAGAUCCAGAACAGGAGCUGGAGAUCGUGGUCUGCAGGAGGUUUUAGAUGAACA
Long non-coding RNA from Limanda limanda (common dab), 288 nucleotides. RefSeq lists it as uncharacterized. The record is from RefSeq and is a predicted model, not a curated record. The transcript has 3 exons. Lineage: Eukaryota; Metazoa; Chordata; Actinopteri; Pleuronectiformes; Pleuronectidae.